UACGUAGGGUGCAAGCGUUGUCCGGAAUUAUUGGGCGUAAAGAGCUCGUAGGCGGUUCGUCGCGUCGGCUGUGAAAACCCGGAGCUCAACUCCGGGCCUGCAGUCGAUACGGGCGGACUUGAGUGUUGCAGGGGAGACUGGAAUUCCUGGUGUAGCGGUGAAAUGCGCAGAUAUCAGGAGGAACACCAACGGCGAAGGCAGCUCGCUGGGACGGUACUGACGCUGAGGCGCGAAAGCGUGGGGAGCGAACAGG
This 253-nucleotide ribosomal RNA is filed under the name uncultured bacterium. RNAcentral's name for it is "partial 16S ribosomal RNA". It matches the Rfam family "Bacterial small subunit ribosomal RNA", at positions 524 to 776 of the family's 1533-position model. The record is from RNAcentral.